UAAUCUUCCCUUGAGCGGGGGACAACGUUUCGAAAGGAACGCUAAUACCGCAUAAGUUUCCGAGGCCUCUGGGUCUUGGAAGGAAAGCUAGGUCGCAAGAUCCGGCACUCGAGGAGGAGCCUGCGUCGCAUCAGCUAGUUGGUGGGGUAAUGGCCUACCAAGGCGAAGACGCGUAGCUGGUCUGAGAGGAUGAUCAGCCACACUGGGACUGAGACACGGCCCAG
RNAcentral lists this ribosomal RNA (224 nucleotides) under uncultured bacterium. RNAcentral describes it as "partial 16S ribosomal RNA". It matches the Rfam family "Bacterial small subunit ribosomal RNA", at positions 122 to 334 of the family's 1533-position model. The record is from RNAcentral.